AUGGUGUUGCGCGAUCAUCAAGGACAGAUCAUAUUUGCAGCUUACAGAGUCUUGUUCCACUGCAACAACGCUCUGGAGGCUGAACUUCACGCACUCAUUCAGGGUAUGGCCUUGGCCAUCCAGCACUCGGAGGCCCCAGUCGUCGUUCGGUCCGAUUCUUCUGAAGCCUUGGCGAGUCUCUCUAGCGAUGCUCUAACUCGCUCGGCUUACGGUCAUUUGGUUCUAGAGAUUAAGGAGUUGAUGAGUAAUAGGGAGUUUGUACCUCUGAAAAUUUGUCGUUCUCAGAAAAGAGUUGCCGAUCGUUUGGCCAACUAUAGCCGGGCCGAGCGGACUACAGCGGUGUGGUUGCGCUCGGUUCCACCUUGUAUUGAGGAUUUGUGGCCUCUCGACUGUAACACUGUGACAUCUUGA
RNAcentral lists this ribosomal RNA (411 nucleotides) under Triticum aestivum (bread wheat). RNAcentral describes it as "partial small subunit ribosomal RNA". The record is from RNAcentral. Lineage: Eukaryota; Viridiplantae; Streptophyta; Magnoliopsida; Poales; Poaceae.